GGGGCCGUGGCGCAGCUGGGAGCGCGCCUGAAUCGCACUCAGGAGGUCACGGGUUCGAAUCCCGUCGGCUCCACCA
Molecule: transfer RNA, 76 nt
Filed under: Thermus sp.
Lineage: Bacteria; Thermotogati; Deinococcota; Deinococci; Thermales; Thermaceae
Also listed under: 1 other name
Description: tRNA-Ala
Rfam family: tRNA
About the family: Transfer RNA (tRNA) molecules are approximately 80 nucleotides in length. Their secondary structure includes four short double-helical elements and three loops (D, anti-codon, and T loops). Further hydrogen bonds mediate the characteristic L-shaped molecular structure. tRNAs have two regions of fundamental functional importance: the anti-codon, which is responsible for specific mRNA codon recognition, and the 3' end, to which the tRNAs corresponding amino acid is attached (by aminoacyl-tRNA synthetases). tRNAs cope with the degeneracy of the genetic code in two manners: having more than one tRNA (with a specific anti-codon) for a particular amino acid; and 'wobble' base-pairing, i.e. permitting non-standard base-pairing at the 3rd anti-codon position.
Source: RNAcentral